Molecule: ribosomal RNA, 636 nt
Filed under: Pseudomonas sp.
Lineage: Bacteria; Pseudomonadati; Pseudomonadota; Gammaproteobacteria; Pseudomonadales; Pseudomonadaceae
Description: bacterial SSU rRNA
Rfam family: Bacterial small subunit ribosomal RNA
Source: RNAcentral
CUAGGAAUCUGCCUGGUAGUGGGGGACAACGUUUCGAAAGGAACGCUAAUACCGCAUACGUCCUACGGGAGAAAGCAGGGGACCUUCGGGCCUUGCGCUAUCAGAUGAGCCUAGGUCGGAUUAGCUAGUUGGUGAGGUAAUGGCUCACCAAGGCGACGAUCCGUAACUGGUCUGAGAGGAUGAUCAGUCACACUGGAACUGAGACACGGUCCAGACUCCUACGGGAGGCAGCAGUGGGGAAUAUUGGACAAUGGGCGAAAGCCUGAUCCAGCCAUGCCGCGUGUGUGAAGAAGGUCUUCGGAUUGUAAAGCACUUUAAGUUGGGAGGAAGGGUUGUAGAUUAAUACUCUGCAAUUUUGACGUUACCGACAGAAUAAGCACCGGCUAACUCUGUGCCAGCAGCCGCGGUAAUACAGAGGGUGCAAGCGUUAAUCGGAAUUACUGGGCGUAAAGCGCGCGUAGGUGGUUCGUUAAGUUGGAUGUGAAAUCCCCGGGCUCAACCUGGGAACUGCAUCCAAAACUGGCGAGCUAGAGUAUGGUAGAGGGUGGUGGAAUUUCCUGUGUAGCGGUGAAAUGCGUAGAUAUAGGAAGGAACACCAGUGGCGAAGGCGACCACCUGGACUGAUACUGACACUGA